This is a long non-coding RNA of Cavia porcellus (domestic guinea pig), 2041 nucleotides long. RefSeq lists it as uncharacterized. NCBI's taxonomy places the organism in Eukaryota, Metazoa, Chordata, Mammalia, Rodentia, Caviidae. The transcript is spliced from 4 exons. The record is from RefSeq and is a predicted model, not a curated record.
CUAGAUCUUCUGAAAUGUGGUGAAGACCUGUCCCCAAGCCCUGGCUCACUACUGUCUACACCCGUGUUUGCACUUUGCUAUUCCUGCUCUGGAUUUCUGAUUCAGCACACUCGACUCCCUCUCUACUAGCAGGGAUGCUGGGUGCGUGGUAACCGAGAAACACCCAGGGGAUUCAGAUGCUUUCUUCAGCAAGGACCAGGAUCCAGGUGUGGAGGGAGCAGUUCCGACACAGUUGGGGCGGUUCCAAGGUCCAUGUUUGAGAAAGGUCUUCUCCAUCCCAGUAGGAAAGAGUGAGGACUCAAAGAAGGUACACAUGUGAACCUGGCCAAGCUCCUUGUUUACUGCCAUUGGCCCACACCAUGUCCAGCUGCAGCUCUGCCACCCGUCCACUCUUCCCUUCAAAUAGGUUGCAGUCAUCAACCUGGAUGUGUGAGAUCCCUUUCAUCUGCUGGCAUAACUGCUGCUGCUACUGACAUGGAGAUGCCUUCCUUAGACACAGUGAGUGUCCACCUUCUCCUCCCUUUGUCCCAAGUGCAGGGCUGCUGGGGGCUACCCUGCACUUGUUCUUGGUCAAGACGACCCAGAGGAGCCACUUCUGUCUGAGGAAAUGUUGGGGUGAUGUGGAAGACCUGAGAGACCUCGUUGCUGAGGGGCUGUAGGUACCCGUGUGGAGCCAGUGAGGAGUGGACCCUCAGUGGCCCCAUACUUGAAAAGGCCUAUUGACUGGAUACUCUAUUCUACUAUCUUGAAACACUUAACUAUUUUGUUUUAGGAGGAGACUCUACAAGUUCAUUUUGCACCAAAUCUUGCCAGUUAGGUAGCCAGUCCUACAAGGAAAGCCUGAAGACCGGAGGCAAGGCAGGGGGGCAGGGACCCAGCCCAGGGGCUGUGGUUGUAGUGACCACCUCAGGGUGUACUUGCUGCCAGCAGAAAGAGUUUGGAGGGGCAGAGUGGUGUCUGUAGUGAUAGCAGCCAGAAGUAGAAUGUUGUGAUCUCACUCGCGGAACCAAAGGGAGUCAUCACCACUGAGGUUGUGUCUCCAAAAAACUCACCAGACAUUUCCCACAUCAAGAAGUUUAGCCUGGAUUAAACCCUAGGUCAGAGGCACACAGACCUCUGAGGUCCACUCCCCUCCUCCUCUUCCACCAUCCUCUCCAAGAUGGGAGGAGCUGAGAGCAGCUGAGUGAGGACAGAGGUGGCAUGAGAACGUAGCGGGCUUUGAGGUGGCAGAGAAGCCAAAUCCCUCUCCAUACAGCUUCCAUCCCAGGCUGGGACCAGGAGCGAGGAGGAAAGAAGCCUUAACUCUAAGAGAACUUCAGGAUGUGAACAAUUACAUUGCUUGAACAAUUAGGCUGCUGAAACUGAUGUAUUCUUAUUGCUAUGGAGGGCUAGAAGACUCCUUAUCUCAGAGCAGCUUGGACCAUCAUGUGAUCCGUGGGGGUAUCACCGCAGGACCCAGAUCUGUCUACACAAAGCGGGUGGGAAAGGCUGUCGUGAGGAAAGACAGCCCUGGUUUCUCCUUGUGCCUCCAGAAUCUGCCCUUUUCACCCUUUCCCCAGUAGGAGAUCUUUGCUUGUAAGUCAUGUUAAUCAUCUGACACAGAAGCUAUCUUUCUUGGCCUUGCUUUGAAAACAAUUAACUAAAAAGUUUAAAAGCCUUCAAAGAGUUUCAUUAAUGCCAUGAAAGAAAUGGUGUGCUGAUUAAUAUUAGGAAAAAAAAAAACUUUCAUGAAGAGGUCGCCUCCAAAAUUUGAUUCACGGUGAUAAGUGGUGUCUGCAAAUGAAGGCAAAGCCAUGACCAGCUUGGGGUCUCGUCUGUCAGGCGAUAAUUGAGUGUCCACUGUGGCAGCUUCUGGCAUUCGGGUCAUACUAGUGUUGUUAAAGAGAGGAAAUUAAAUGCACUAACAAGAAACUCUCAAAGUACAACUCAAAGUACACCGAGGUUGUGACAGAAACUAGCAUUAAGGAAGCUCGGCAUUUACGUGGACCCCCCACCCACAGACUCAGAGGGCACCAAAGGAAGCAGAUCUGAAGACACCCCG